UACGUAGGGACCGAGCGUUGUCCGGAAUCAUUGGGCGUAAAGAGCGUGUAGGCGGCCACUUAAGUCCUGCGUGAAAUCUUGCGGCUCAACCGCAAGCGGUCGUGGGAAACUGGGUGGCUAGAGUGCGGGAGAGGAGAGUGGAAUUCCUGGUGUAGCGGUGGAAUGCGCAGAUAUCAGGAAGAACACCCGUGGCAAAGGCGGCUCUCUGGAACGCAACUGACGCUGAGACGCGAAAGCGUGGGGAGCAAACAGG
This 253-nucleotide ribosomal RNA is filed under the name uncultured bacterium. Its description in RNAcentral is "partial 16S ribosomal RNA". It matches the Rfam family "Bacterial small subunit ribosomal RNA", at positions 524 to 776 of the family's 1533-position model. The record is from RNAcentral.